This 253-nucleotide ribosomal RNA is filed under the name uncultured bacterium. Its description in RNAcentral is "partial 16S ribosomal RNA". It matches the Rfam family "Bacterial small subunit ribosomal RNA", at positions 524 to 776 of the family's 1533-position model. The record is from RNAcentral.
UACAGAGGUCCCAAGCGUUGUUCGGAUUCAUUGGGCGUAAAGGGUGCGUAGGUGGCGUCGUAAGUCGGGUGUGAAAUCUCGGGGCUUAACUCCGAAACUGCAUUCGAUACUGCUUUGCUUGAGGACUGGAGAGGAGACUGGAAUUCAUGGUGUAGCAGUGAAAUGCGUAGAGAUCAUGAGGAAGACCAGUGGCGAAGGCGGGUCUCUGGACAGUUCCUGACACUGAGACACGAAGGCCAGGGGAGCAAACGGG